RNAcentral lists this ribosomal RNA (335 nucleotides) under Thalassiosira minuscula. Its description in RNAcentral is "partial Bacterial small subunit ribosomal RNA". It matches the Rfam family "Bacterial small subunit ribosomal RNA", at positions 357 to 710 of the family's 1533-position model. The record is from RNAcentral. Lineage: Eukaryota; Bacillariophyta; Thalassiosirophyceae; Thalassiosirales; Thalassiosiraceae.
GGGAAUAUUGCACAAUGGGCGCAAGCCUGAUGCAGCCAUGCCGCGUGAAUGAUGAAGGCCUUAGGGUUGUAAAAUUCUUUCGCCAAGGAUGAUAAUGACACUACUUGGUAAAGAAGCCCCGGCUAACUUCGUGCCAGCAGCCGCGGUAAUACGAAGGGGGCUAGCGUUGCUCGGAAUCACUGGGCGUAAAGGGCGCGUAGGCGGACAUUUAAGUCAGGGGUGAAAUCCCAGAGCUCAACUCUGGAACUGCCUUUGAUACUGGGUAUCUUGAGUAUGGAAGAGGUUAGUGGAAUUGCGAGUGUAGAGGUGAAAUUCGUAGGUAUUGGAAGAACACC